UGACCCUAUUAAAACCCUUCUAAAAACCUUUAGAUCUUUUGAAAGUAUGUGCUACAUUAGUAGAGAUAGGGAAUUGAGAUGUACCUAUGGAAUUGGAACUAAUUCAAAUUCACCAAUAAUCUUCAAAAAGAGGCAUAUUUGGGGGAGUAAAUAUUUCUUAAGUCUAUCCUCAUAAACAGAUUAUUUGUGACUUAUAAAUAGCCUUGCAUAGAGGAGUAGUUAUUCGAAAUCCCACGAAAGGAGUGAAGCUUUGAGCAGACAACUAUUGAAGACCUUAUGCCUUGAAGGAAGGGAGUUCGUAUGAAGGUUGAAGGAGUUCAAUUAUUUGCAUAUUGAGUUUAUGGUUAUGUUUCUGAGUUUUUCCCCUAAAAAAUAUUCUAAAAAAGUUUUCAAUUUGUUUGAAGACAGGCAAAAGCUUGAGUUUGGAGGUAUUUGAUGCA
Molecule: unclassified non-coding RNA, 440 nt
Filed under: Hevea brasiliensis (rubber tree)
Lineage: Eukaryota; Viridiplantae; Streptophyta; Magnoliopsida; Malpighiales; Euphorbiaceae
Source: RNAcentral